CAGAAGGUGGUUGCUAUGGAGAGCAUUUAUGUUCGAAAUAUAUAUUUAUGUUUGCGUGUGUUUAUGUUUGAAAAAAGCGAAUCCUAAACCACCAUUUCAACUUCAAACUUUGGAGAAGAAAGUUCAUCGUUGAUUUCUGAAAGAUUUCUCAAAGAUUUCUCGACAACCUCAAAUGGACCGAAGAUCACCAAGCCACCUCCCUGCCCGUGUCGCAAAUGUCUUCGAACACCACAGAAACCAUGAUGUAUUUUUCCACCUUGGUCUUUGCCAUGCUCUGGGUUAUCAAGGGAGCAGGAGAGCAGCUCCAGACACCCCAGGGAGCCUCCACUCCGUGUGAGCACUGCUGGCCCCACAGAGCGGCGCCCCAACCCCC
This is a long non-coding RNA of Mugil cephalus (flathead mullet), 373 nucleotides long. RefSeq lists it as uncharacterized. The record is from RefSeq and is a predicted model, not a curated record. The transcript is spliced from 3 exons. Lineage: Eukaryota; Metazoa; Chordata; Actinopteri; Mugiliformes; Mugilidae.